UGGCGUCUGUGAUGUUGCAGUUAUACCUACAUUGUUUGACCCUCAUGAGAACAGCACUGGCUGAGACGCUG
Small nucleolar RNA from Ailuropoda melanoleuca (giant panda), 71 nucleotides. Its record names the gene SNORD34. It matches the Rfam family "Small nucleolar RNA SNORD34". Rfam says of the family: snoRNA U34 is found in intron 5 of the ribosomal protein L13a gene in humans. U34 is a member of the C/D class of snoRNA which contain C (UGAUGA) and D (CUGA) box motifs, and functions in directing site-specific 2'-O-methylation of 25S rRNAs. Although the selection of the target nucleotide requires the antisense element and the conserved box D or D' of the snoRNA, the methyltransferase activity is thought to reside in one of the protein components. Lineage: Eukaryota; Metazoa; Chordata; Mammalia; Carnivora; Ursidae. The record is from Ensembl.